RNAcentral lists this ribosomal RNA (474 nucleotides) under uncultured bacterium. RNAcentral's name for it is "bacterial SSU rRNA". It matches the Rfam family "Bacterial small subunit ribosomal RNA", at positions 24 to 518 of the family's 1533-position model. The record is from RNAcentral.
UCAGGACGAACGCUGGCGGCGUGCUUAACACAUGCAAGUCGAACGGGAGUAUUGAAGAAGCUUGCUUUAGAGAUACUUUAGUGGCGGACGGGUGAGUAACGCGUGAGGAGCUGUCCUAUGCAGGGGGACAACAGCUGGAAACGGCUGCUAAUACCCCAUAAGCCGAGAGGUAAAAGGAUCAAUCCGGCAGAGGAGGUACUCGCGUCCUAUCAGCUAGUAGGUGAGGCAACGGCUCACCUAGGCGAAGACGGGUAGCCGGCCUGAGAGGGCGAACGGCCACACUGGAACUGAGAUACGGUCCAGACUCCUACGGGGGGCAGCAGUGGGGAAUAUUGGGCAAUGGGGGAAACCCUGAACCCCCAGCGACGCCGCGUGGGUGAAGAAAUCCUUCGGGAUGUAAAGCCCUGUUGUAUGGGAAGAGCGGAAGACGGUACCAUACGAGGAAGCCCCGGCAAACUACGUGCCAGCAGCAGC